Molecule: ribosomal RNA, 568 nt
Filed under: Heteromys salvini (Salvin's spiny pocket mouse)
Lineage: Eukaryota; Metazoa; Chordata; Mammalia; Rodentia; Heteromyidae
Description: Liomys salvini (Salvin's spiny pocket mouse) partial 16S ribosomal RNA
Rfam family: Bacterial large subunit ribosomal RNA
Source: RNAcentral
CACCUCUAGCAUGACCAGUAUUAGAGGCAUUGCCUGCCCAGUGACUCACGUUAAACGGCCGCGGUAUUCUGACCGUGCAAAGGUAGCAUAAUCACUUGUUUCUUAAUUGGGGACUAGCAUGAAUGGCUCGACGAGGGUUUAACUGUCUCUUACAUUUAAUCUAUGAAAUUGACCUCUCCGUGAAGAGGCGGAGCUAGUAAAAUAAGACGAGAAGACCCUAUGGAGCUUUAAUUUAUUAGUCUAUCUUAUAUACCAUACAAACCUAUCUGGUUUUAACCUCAAUGAGCAUUAGACUAAUAAUUUCGGUUGGGGUGACCUCGGAGGAAAAAAAAUCCUCCGAAAGAUUAUAUACUAGACACACUAGUCUAAUACAUAGGAUGUUAUCAUCCUAUGAUCUUAAAUUGACCCAGAUUAAUCUGAUCAAUGGACCAAGUUACCCUAGGGAUAACAGCGCAAUCCUUCUAGAGAGUCCAUAUCGAUAGUAGGGUUUACGACCUCGAUGUUGGAUCAGGACAUCCUAAUGGUGCAGCAGCUAUUAAGGGUUCGUUUGUUCAACGAUUAAAGUCCU